AAAACGACUCUCGGCAACGGAUAUCUCGGCUCUCGCAUCGAUGAAGAACGUAGCGAAAUGCGAUACUUGGUGUGAAUUGCAGAAUCCCGUGAACCAUCGAGUCUUUGAACGCAAGUUGCGCCCCAAGCCGUUAGGCCGAGGGCACGCCUGCCUGUGUGUCAC
RNAcentral lists this ribosomal RNA (162 nucleotides) under Acer spicatum (mountain maple). RNAcentral describes it as "5.8S ribosomal RNA". It matches the Rfam family "5.8S ribosomal RNA". Rfam says of the family: 5.8S ribosomal RNA (5.8S rRNA) is a component of the large subunit of the eukaryotic ribosome. It is transcribed by RNA polymerase I as part of the 45S precursor that also contains 18S and 28S rRNA. The record is from RNAcentral. Lineage: Eukaryota; Viridiplantae; Streptophyta; Magnoliopsida; Sapindales; Sapindaceae.